UCCUCUACUGAGCAGGGAACCCAACUCGGCGCUCUAUCCCAGGACCCUGGGAUCAUGACCUGAGCCGAAGGCAGCCGCUUAACCAACUGAGC
Mustela erminea (ermine) is the source of this 92-nucleotide long non-coding RNA. RefSeq lists it as uncharacterized. The record is from RefSeq and is a predicted model, not a curated record. Lineage: Eukaryota; Metazoa; Chordata; Mammalia; Carnivora; Mustelidae. The transcript has 3 exons.